Molecule: transfer RNA, 54 nt
Filed under: Laqueus japonicus
Lineage: Eukaryota; Metazoa; Brachiopoda; Rhynchonellata; Terebratulida; Laqueidae
Description: tRNA-Arg
Source: RNAcentral
UUCCUUGGAGCAUGAGCUUAAUGCGUUUGGUUUCGGCCCGAAAGAUUAAGAGGG